Molecule: long non-coding RNA, 169 nt
Organism: Mya arenaria
Lineage: Eukaryota; Metazoa; Mollusca; Bivalvia; Myida; Myidae
Exons: 3
Source: RefSeq, a predicted model, not a curated record
GUUUGUUCAAUAACAGGAGACAAACAGAAACACAGAGGUGCUAUACAUUCCGAUGGAAAAUACAACAAAAGCAUCUCCCAUCAUUUUGGCGUGGCUCAGAUCAAGAGGAGAAUUUUAAGAAAGGUGAUGGUUGGGCACACACAAGAAGACAUAGAUCACAUGUGUCCAG